GAUGAACGCUGGCGGCGUGCCUAAUACAUGCAAGUCGAGCGAACGGACGAGAAGCUUGCUUCUCUGAUGUUAGCGGCGGACGGGUGAGUAACACGUGGAUAACCUACCUAUAAGACUGGGAUAACUUCGGGAAACCGGAGCUAAUACCGGAUGAUAUUUUGAACCGCAUGGUUCAAAAGUGAAAGACGGUCUUGCUGUCACUUAUAGAUGUAUCCGCGCUGCAUUAGCUAGUUGGUAAGGUAACGGCUUACCAAGGCAACGAUGCAUAGCCGACCUGAGAGGGUGAUCGGCCACACUGGAACUGAGACACGGUCCAGACUCCUACGGGAGGCAGCAGUAGGGAAUCUUCCGCAAUGGGCGAAAGCCUGACGGAGCAACGCCGCGUGAGUGAUGAAGGUCUUCGGAUCGUAAAACUCUGUUAUUAGGGAAGAACAUAUGUGUAAGUAACUGUGAACAUCUUGACGGUACCUAAUCAGAAAGCCACGGCUAACUACGUG
RNAcentral lists this ribosomal RNA (497 nucleotides) under uncultured bacterium. RNAcentral describes it as "partial 16S ribosomal RNA". It matches the Rfam family "Bacterial small subunit ribosomal RNA", at positions 28 to 507 of the family's 1533-position model. The record is from RNAcentral.